AAAGAAAUGAAAUCUCUAGAGAAGACUAUGCAAUCCUUAAAAAAGAUUGAAGAAAUAAAAGCCAUGGAAAGCAAAGUCUUUGAAUCCAUAACAACAGCUGUAACACACAGAGACAUUGACUCUCUCUACAAUGAGAUAAAGAAUACUGAUGUGCGAAACUGUCAGGA
This is a long non-coding RNA of Saccostrea echinata, 167 nucleotides long. RefSeq lists it as uncharacterized. The record is from RefSeq and is a predicted model, not a curated record. The transcript has 3 exons. Lineage: Eukaryota; Metazoa; Mollusca; Bivalvia; Ostreida; Ostreidae.